AUCUCGUCUCCUCGCACCGACGCCUCCACAACUCCACUCCUCGUCUCCUCGCACCGUUCCCACAGGCACGCAGCGUUCGUAGACAAGCAUGUCGCAGCGCCGCCGGAGGCCGAUGUCAACCGCCGGAGGCGACCUUGGCGGUGGCGCCCCGCCCCCCGCGCCGGCGGAGCCCGGCCCCCCGCCCGCCCCUCAUCUUCGGCCCGGAGGGAGCAGCAGCUGAGCAGGGACGGGCGACCCUGGCGGCGGCACCCUGGCACCCGCGCCGGCGGCGCUCGGACCCCCACCCGCCCCUCCUCUUCGGCUCGGAGGGAGCAGCAGCCGAGCAGGGACGGGCGACCCUGGCUGCGGCGCCCCACCCCCUGCAGCACAUAAACAAAAAUGAAGAGUGGAAUUGUUGGCAGUAGCAUUUUUGCAAUGUGGGAAAAGGCUUCAAAGGCAAGGAAAACAGAUGAAGUAUCAACACCGAAUCAGACAGCAGAUGCAUCCAGUACUUGUACUUCUCCUGUUCAUCUUGAGAGCAAUUUGCAAUUGGUGUUAUGGCAAGAACCGGAAAGUAGAGGAGAAACCUCAACACCUCAUGUAGAAGAUGAUGAAUCUAUUGAUGAAGAUGAUGAACCGAUGCAAGCAGAUUUCGAGGCACUGGAACAUGAUCCUAGAAAGCGGAUUCCCAUCUCAGUGUAUGCUGUCAGUGACCAAGAUAGAGUAAGAACGAGAUAUAUUGAGAUGGGGUCAUGUCAGCCAAAGAAUCAUAAGUUCAAGUUACAAAUAAAAGUGGAAAAGAGCGUCGCUUUUGCCGUGUUUGGUUCAAACAAUUUCCAUGGAUUGAGUAUAGUGUGGAAAAACAUAGAGCUUUCUGCUUUGUUUGCUAUUUGUUCAAGGAUAAGACAAGAUGUCCCGGUGGAGAUGCUUUUGUGAAGAGGGAUUUAAUAACUGGAACAUGAAGUCGAGAUUGAAGAAACAUGAAGGUGAGGUUAGUAGUGCUCAUGCUGAAGCUCAAGAGAAGUAUGAUAGGUUCACUACACCACAAACAUCAAUUCGGGAGUCUAUUGCUUCAAACACCUCACAAUACAAGGCUUUGUAUAAACAGCGUUUGACAUGGACACUCAAGUGUGUGAGAUUUCUGUUGCGCCAAGGCUUGGCAUUUAGAGGACAUGAUGAAAGUGAAGACUCACUAAAUAAAGGAAAUUUCCUUGAGCUUCUAAAUUGGCUAGCAGGAAAUUUUGAAGAGGUUGACAGGGUUGUUCUCAAGAAUGCUCCACAGAACUGCAAGAUGACUCGCCAUGAUAUACAACAAGAGGUGAUAAAAUGUUGUGCACAAGAGACUACUAAACUAGUCAUUGAAGAACUUGAUGGUGGUCAUUUUGCAAUACUUGCAGAUGAGUCUACUCAUGUGUAUCAGAAUGAACAGUUGGUUGUUUGCUUGCGUUAUGUUGAUAAGAAUGGAAGGGCGGUUGUAAGAUUUCUUGGUCUUGCUCAUGUUGAAGAUACUACCGCUUUGACACUAAAAGCCGCAAUUCAGAAAAUGCUUAUGUAAUACAAUUUGACCUUUGCAAUGGUUCGUGGGCAAGGAUAUGAUGGAGCUAGUAAUAUGAGAGGUAAUGCUAAUGGUCUGAAAAAACUGAUUAUGGAUGAGUCCCCUUCUGCCUACUAUGUUCAUUAUUUUGCCCAUCAACUACAGUUAACUCUUGUUGUUGUUGCUAA
Long non-coding RNA from Triticum aestivum (bread wheat), 1701 nucleotides. RefSeq lists it as uncharacterized. The transcript is spliced from 2 exons. The record is from RefSeq and is a predicted model, not a curated record. Lineage: Eukaryota; Viridiplantae; Streptophyta; Magnoliopsida; Poales; Poaceae.